Molecule: ribosomal RNA, 477 nt
Filed under: uncultured bacterium
Lineage: Bacteria
Description: partial 16S ribosomal RNA
Rfam family: Bacterial small subunit ribosomal RNA
Source: RNAcentral
GAUGAACGCUGGCGGCGUGCCUAAUACAUGCAAGUCGAGCGAACGGACGAGAAGCUUGCUUUUCUGAUGUUAGCGGCGGACGGGUGAGUAACACGUGUAUAACCUACCUAUAAGACUGGGAUAACUUCGGGAAUCCGGAGCUAAUACCGGAGAAUAUUUUGAACCGCAUUGUUCAAAGGUGAAAGACGGUCUUGCUGGCACUUCUAGAUGGAUCCGCGCUUCAUUGGCUAGUUGGUGGGGUAGUGGCUUACCAAGGCAAUGACGGGUAGCCGGCCUGAGAGGGUGACCGGCCACAUUGGGACUGAGGUACGGCCCAGACGCCUACGGGAGGCAGCAGUGGGGAAUAUUGCACAAUGGGCGGAAGCCUGAUGCAGCAACGCCGCGUGCGGGAUGACGGCCUUCGGGUUGUAAACCGCUUUCGCCUGUGACGAAGCGUGAGUGACGGUAAUGGGUAAAGAAGCACCGGCUAACUACGUG